UACGUAGGUCCCGAGCGUUGUCCGGAUUUAUUGGGCGUAAAGCGAGCGCAGGUGGUUUAUUAAGUCUGGUGUAAAAGGCAGUGGCUCAACCAUUGUAUGCAUUGGAAACUGAUAGACUUGAGUGCAGGAGAGGAGAGUGGAAUUCCAUGUGUAGCGGUGAAAUGCAUAGAUAUCACGCAGAACUCCGAUUGCGAAGGCAGCAUACCGGCGCCCUACUGACGCUGAGGCACGAAAGCGUGGGUAUCGAACAGG
Molecule: ribosomal RNA, 252 nt
Filed under: uncultured bacterium
Lineage: Bacteria
Description: partial 16S ribosomal RNA
Rfam family: Bacterial small subunit ribosomal RNA
Source: RNAcentral